UCCGGGUUUCGCCCGGCAGUCUCCCUAGAACAUUCAACUAAGGACAGGGGUUGCGCUCGUUGCGGGACUUAACCCAACACCUCACAGCACGAGCUGACGACAGCCAUGCAGCACCUGUGUAAUUGUCCCUUGCGGGAAGACGCACUUUCGUGCGCUGUCAACUACAUGUCAAACCUGGGUAAGGUUCUUCGCGUAGCCUCGAAUUAAACCACAUGCUCCACCGCUUGUGCGGGUCCCCGUCAAUUUCUUUGAGUUUCAGUCUUGCGACCGUACUCCCCAGGUGGUGGAUUUAAUGCGUUAGCUGCGGCGCUGGAGGGAUCGACACCCCCAACACCUAAUCCACAUCGUUUACGGCAAGGACUAC
Molecule: unclassified non-coding RNA, 364 nt
Filed under: uncultured bacterium
Lineage: Bacteria
Description: contains 16S-23S intergenic spacer region
Source: RNAcentral